This 552-nucleotide long non-coding RNA is filed under the name Taeniopygia guttata (zebra finch). Its description in RNAcentral is "lncRNA (ENSTGUG00000019038.1)". The record is from RNAcentral. Lineage: Eukaryota; Metazoa; Chordata; Aves; Passeriformes; Estrildidae.
UGAAGCUGACGGCACAGUUUUGAACUUUGGGAAGAAUAAAGGAAAGCACAGCUACUGGAAUUAACUCAUGAGACUGAGGCAAACAGGAAAAGUCCACAUCCAUUGUUAUGUCACACAUAGCUAAUGAAUGCACAUGCUUUAACACACUAAAACUCAAGACAGUGUUUAUGGUAGGUAGUGAAUUAAGUGUGGACUGACAAUGUAGCAGCAUGGUGCUCCUGUUAAUUGUCCUUGCUCUUUACUUUCCUUCAGGAAAAGCGUCUGGAUGGGGUUAGGCAGCCUAGAUGCAUUCUUCAAAGCAUUCCAGAGGAGUAAACAAGAGCAAGAGCGAUCAUGAUUCACAGAUCGUUUACACAGACCCGAGACCAAGACCGACAUGUCUUUGGACUGAAAAAGAGGAGCAGUCUGCAGCCUCCAGCCUUACCCAACUGUGUUAUCAAUAGCAUUUACAAAGAUCUCUGUCCCUUAAUUUCACUGAGCAAAUCUGAAGCUGGGGGAAACAAAGUCAAAGAAAGCAAAAAAGCAUUUUGGAAGACUGAGCAACUCACCUAA